UCUGUCCUUGGUGAAGAAAAAAUGACGGUAGCCAAGGAGGAAGCCCCGGCUAACUACGUGCCAGCAGCCGCGGUAAUACGUAGGGGGCGAGCGUUGUCCGGAUUUACUGGGCGUAAAGGGUGAGUAGGCGGUUAUAUAUGUCAGAUGUAAAAGGCUAUGGCUUAACCAUAGUUAGCAUUUGAAACUGUAUGACUUGAGUGCAGGAGAGGUAAGUGGAAUUCCUAGUGUAGCGGUGAAAUGCGUAGAUAUUAGGAGGAACACCAGUGGCGAAGGCGACUUACUGGACUGUAACUGACGCUGAGUCACGAAAGCGUGGGUAGCAAACAGGAUUAGAUACCCUGGUAGUCCACGCUGUAAACGAUGAGUGCUAGGUGUUGGGUAGCGAUACUCAGUGCCGAAGUAAACACAAUAAGCACUCCGCCUGGGGAGUACGGUCGCAAGACUGAAACUCAAAGGAAUUGACGGGGACCCGCACAAGCAGCGGAGCAUGUGGUUUAAUUCGAAGCAACGCGAAGAACCUUACCAAGGCUUGACAUCCCCUUGACCGGCACAGAGAUGUGCCCUCUCCUUCGGGAGCAAGGGUGACAGGUGGUGCAUGGUUGUCGUCAGCUCGUGUCGUGAGAUGUUGGGUUAAGUCCCGCAACGAGCGCAACCCUUGUCCUUAGUUGCCAGCAGGUAAAGCUGGGCACUCUAGGGAGACUGCCGAUGAUAAAUCGGAGGAAGGUGGGGAUGACGUCAAAUCAUCAUGCCCCUUAUGUCUUGGGCUACACACGUGCUACAAUGGUCGGUACAACGGGCAGCGAAAGAGUGAUCUGAAGCAAAUCCCAAUAAACCGAUCCCAGUUCGGAUUGUAGGCUGCAACUCGCCUACAUGAAGUCGGAGUUGCUAGUAAUCGCGAAUCAGAACGUCGCGGUGAAUGCGUUCCCGGGUCUUGUACACACCGA
This 944-nucleotide ribosomal RNA is filed under the name Clostridium sp. enrichment culture. RNAcentral's name for it is "bacterial SSU rRNA". It matches the Rfam family "Bacterial small subunit ribosomal RNA", at positions 432 to 1393 of the family's 1533-position model. The record is from RNAcentral. Lineage: Bacteria; Bacillati; Bacillota; Clostridia; Eubacteriales; Clostridiaceae.